Molecule: non-coding RNA, 79 nt
Organism: Podarcis lilfordi (Lilford's wall lizard)
Lineage: Eukaryota; Metazoa; Chordata; Lepidosauria; Squamata; Lacertidae
Source: the annotation of a GenBank genome assembly
ACCAUGUUGGCUCAGGGGCAGAGCACCUGCUUGGAAUGCAGAAGGUCCCGGGACCAAUCCCCAAUGGCAUCUCCUGGUA